Non-coding RNA from Pelobates cultripes (western spadefoot toad), 3643 nucleotides. The record is from the annotation of a GenBank genome assembly. Lineage: Eukaryota; Metazoa; Chordata; Amphibia; Anura; Pelobatidae.
CUCCCCACAACGGGAGCAAACCCGAUCUACAAUAAAAUCAACGUCACCCUACAAGGUCCUCCCAAAUACCUAACGCCAACCACCAUGAAAAUAUACACACACAAUGUCAAAGGACUAAACACACCCCACAAAAGACGCAUACUGCUAGAAGACCUAAAAAACAACAAAGCAGACAUAGCCUGCAUACAAGAAACACACUUUGUGUCAAACCGAACCCCUACCUUCGCGACAAGAGACUACCCAUUCCAACUCCACGCAACCCACACUUCCAAAUCAAGAGGAGUCUCUCUAUUUUUCCACAAUACCAUUACAAUAGAACCCCUUCAAACAAAGAUUGACAAUCAGGGGCGCUAUAUAAUACUCCAUUGCCUAAUUAACAACAGCCCAUUUCUACUAAUAGGGCUGUACAGCCCAAAUGACCACCAACACAACUUUCUACACAAAGUACUCGCAAAACUACCGACCAACACCAAUGCCCCAAUACUGAUCUGUGGAGAUCUAAAUCACACCAUGGACUCACGCAUAGACUCCACACUCGCUAAUACCUCAAACAGACAUGCCACACUGAAAAGUAAUAGCAAAGCUCUCACAAAAUUACUACACAACCAUGGCCUAUAUGACGUCUGGAGAACACUUCACCCAACUGCAAGAGAAUACACCUUCUACUCACAGGUCCACAAAACACAUUCCAGAAUCGACUACAUACUCGCUUCCGGACCACUACUCCAACAAACCCUCGAUUGCUCCAUAGGCACCAUUGUAUGGUCGGACCAUGCACCCGUCACAAUAACAAUACGUGACAAUUACCAACAUAGGGGCAAACCCCCGUGGCGCCUUAACGACACGCUCCUGAAUGACAAGACCUUUACACAGCAACUUACCCGACAACUACAAGACUACUUUGCACUAAACGAUACUCCAGAAAUAUCCGCCGGGACCCUCUGGCAGGCCCACAAAGCGGUCAUGAGGGGAUCACUAGUCAGCAGGGCAGCCUACCUGAAACGUAAAAGAGAAAGUGAACUCAUAAACCUGCUGAAGACACUCAGGGACACGACCUCAGCACAUCUCCUGAACCCCUCAGACGCAUACAGAGAAACCAUCAAAACCAUUACCACCCAAAUCAACCAACUAAACCUUGACAAAACAGCCUACAUGCUCACCAAACUAAAAAUGAAAACGUACACACAGGGCAACAAAGCAGGGAAAUACCUAGCAACGAUGCUUAAGCAAAAGCAAGCUAACUCCAAAAUACCAUACCUAAUAGCCAAAACCGGAGAGAAGCUACUACACCCUCAGGACAUCAAUGAUGAAAUGGCUGACUACUACCAAAAUCUUUAUAACCUAAAGGACGACAUUACUGUUCACCAACCUACCUCACAAGAAAUAAACACACUUCUACAACAGGCAAGUCUGCCAACACUAUCCCCGACCCAAGCGCAAUCCAUACAAGACCAAAUAACCACACAAGAAUUCUUAGAUACCAUACAAGCCCUCCCACCCGGGAAAUCACCAGGCCCUGACGGGCUAACCAACCUAUAUUACAAACAAUUUGCACCGCUCCUGGCCCCCUACUUGCAAAAACUAUUCAACUAUGUCCUGGCCACAGGAACUAUGCCACGGGAAAUGCUGAUGGCACAUGUCACCACCCUCCCAAAACCAGGGAAGCCGCCAGAUAGAAGCCAAAAUCUGCGCCCAAUAUCCCUAUUGAGCACAGACGUGAAGCUCCUCGCUAAAAUCUUCUCAAACAGACUAACAACCAUCAUCCCAACCCUGAUCGGAAGAGAUCAAGUGGGGUUCGUGGGGGGCAGACAGGGAGCAGACGGCACACGCAAAAUCCUCAAUAUGCUACACGGAAUGCGGGGAGGAGGGGCACCAACAAUACUACUCUCGUUAGACGCCGAAAAGGCCUUUGACAGGCUCCACUGGCCCUUCCUCCUCGAGGUCCUCCGAAGAUUUAACUUCCCACCUCAAUUCCUAUCACUGAUCACGGCACUCUACUCAGCCCCAACAGCCCGAGUGGUGAAUGGAGGCUUUAUAUCCAAACCGUUCUCCAUCUCAAACGGCUCCAGACAAGGCUGCCCACUCUCCCCCCUGCUAUACAUACUAGCAUUAGAACCCCUAAUCCAAUUAAUUAGGGAAAAUCCCAACAUACAUGGAGUCAAGCUCAAAGGUCAGGAAUACAAACUAUCCCUGUUCGCUGACGACAUCCUUCUCACCCUAGAACAACCCCAUAUAUCCCUUCCAAAUUUCCAUCACCUUCAUACCCAAUACAGCCGCAGCUCCUACUACAAGCUAAAUAUAUCAAAAACGCUAGCCCUAGGGAUCAAUGUUCCAGCUCAAGACAUAAUAACGUUAAAAGCCAACUACACGUACAACUGGAGGCAAGACCAUAUAACAUUUUUGGGAGUGAAUUUUACCCCCACGCCAAACUCACUUUUCAAGGCGAACUACCUCAAACUACAAAGCGAAGUCAAAACUCUUCUACAAAGCUGGAAGGGGAAAUUCGUCUCCUGGGCAGGCAGAAUAGCCUCUGUCAAAAUGGUAGCUAUACCGAAAAUCCAAUAUCUAUUCAGAACCCUACCAAUACCAUUACCGCACAAAUACAUUCGUGACCUACAGAAUAUCAUCAAGGACUACAUCUGGGAAAAUAAAAAAACACGGGUGGCAAAAGCCACAAUGCACAACCCAUUCGCCAAAGGAGGGAUGGGACUACCGGAUAUUCGGAGAUACUACAAGGCAGCCCACAUAGCCCCCCUACUAGCAGCAUCACACCAACAUGAACCCCCAACGUGGGUCGAAAUAGAAAAAAACUACACAGACGGUCUUUCCAUACCAGCGCUAGCCUGGAUACCAAAACCGCAAAGACCCAAAACUACCGGGAUGCUACCCACGACCAAGCUCACCAUCUCAAUAUGGGACAAUUACCGGAAAAGCAUGGGCAACACAGCCCUGUACUCCCCCGCCCUCCCAUUAGAGUCAAUAAAAGCUCUUAUACCAGACUUCAACUACGAAAUCUGGCAGAGACAUGGAAUAAAAACUCUGUCACAACUGACAAGGGACUCCCACAUGAAACCGUUCUCGGAACUCCAAACAGAAUAUCAGCUACCGAACACAGUGCUAUUCUCGUACAGACAACUAUUAUCCUGGCACACCCUACAAUCCAAACAAAAACCCACCGAGAGAAAAGCCACAAGCUGGCAAACCAUAGAACAAAUAUGUACAGCAACCAAACAAACCAAAAAGCUAAUCUCCACAAUAUACACAUCAGAAGGAUUUCAACCCAAACAACGUCCCCCAUCUUACAUAACAGCCUGGGAAAAAGAUAUUGGAUAUCAGAUCACCAAAGAACAAUGGAACAACAUCUUCAAAGCACACAAACAACUCACCCUCUGCACGACCCACUUGGAGCUGACUCGCAAAAUCCUUUACAGAUGGUAUCUGGUUCCCACACGCCUUAAACAUAGCUUCCCCACCAUGUCAGAUGUAUGCUGGAGAUGCCAAAAGGACAGAGGUACUAUGCUGCAUAUAUGGUGGCAAUGCGAAGAGAUCCGACAAUUCUGGCAACAAAUAGCACACCUAAUCACUAAACACACGGAUCUCAAACUACCACAUAAACCAGAAACAUACUUACAUCUCCUACUGC